AAUUAUGCGUCAAAUAUCAUUUUUAUGACCUACUCAUACUGUAUCUACCUUUUUUAGAAUUUUCGUCUGUCUGUCUCUCUGUCGGUUUGUACCUUUAUAACUAAUCAACCACUUAUCUGAUUGAGAUGAAAUUUUUUAUACAUAUACAAGAUGCUGUCACUUAAAAUAUAGGCUACUUUUUAAAUCAAUUAUAAAUCAGAAUUCGGAUUAGAUUUUGUUUCAUUUAUCAAUUGUUUCUGUCAAUUGAAUCGUCUAUCACAUUUCAUUAAGCAGUCAAAAUAAGAGUGUCUAAUCUGACUUAUUUGUAACUAAGAUUAAAAAGACAAAAUUACGUAUCUUACGCAAUAUGUAAAAUAAAUGAAGAUCAUAACCUAUAAAUAAUCAUUUAUAUUAUUUAUAAACAAUUUUUGUGCAUUAACUUAUAUAAAAAAUUGGAUU
This is a long non-coding RNA of Microplitis demolitor, 438 nucleotides long. RefSeq lists it as uncharacterized. Lineage: Eukaryota; Metazoa; Arthropoda; Insecta; Hymenoptera; Braconidae. The record is from RefSeq and is a predicted model, not a curated record. The transcript has 3 exons.